CCUACGGGUGGCAGCAGUGAGGAAUAUUGGUCAAUGGGCGAGAGCCUGAACCAGCCAAGUAGCGUGAAGGAUGAAUGCCCUAUGGGUUGUAAACUUCUUUUAUAAAGGAAUAAAGCGAGGCACGUGUGCCUUUUUGUAUGUACUUUAUGAAUAAGGAUAGGCUAACUUCGUGCCAGCAGCCGCGGUAAUACGGAGGAUCCGAGCGUUAUCCGGAUUUAUUGGGUUUAACGGGAGCGUAGAUGGGUUGUUAAGUCAGUUGUGAAAGGUUGCGGCUCAACCGGAAAAUUGCAAUUGAUACUGGCAGUCUUGAGUACAGUUGAGGUAGGCGGAAUUCGUGGUGUAGCGGUGAAAUGCUUAGAGAUCACGAAGAACUCCGAUUGCGAAGGCAGCUUACUAAACUGUGACUGACAUUGAUGCUCGAAAGUGUGGGUAUCAAACAGGAUUAGAUACCCGAGUAGUC
This 460-nucleotide ribosomal RNA is filed under the name uncultured bacterium. Its description in RNAcentral is "partial 16S ribosomal RNA". It matches the Rfam family "Bacterial small subunit ribosomal RNA", at positions 338 to 795 of the family's 1533-position model. The record is from RNAcentral.